UAACGCGUGGUAACCUGCCUGGUAGCGGGGGGUAACUAUUGGAAACGAUAGCUAAUACCGCAUGACAACAGUUAUUGCAUGAUAACUGUUUAAAAGGGGCAACUGCUCCACUACCAGAUGGACCUGCGUUGUAUUAGCUAGUUGGUGAGGUAACGGCUCACCAAGGCGACGAUACAUAGCCGACCUGAGAGGGUGAUCGGCCACACUGGGACUGAGACACGGCCCAG
RNAcentral lists this ribosomal RNA (227 nucleotides) under uncultured bacterium. Its description in RNAcentral is "partial 16S ribosomal RNA". It matches the Rfam family "Bacterial small subunit ribosomal RNA", at positions 111 to 334 of the family's 1533-position model. The record is from RNAcentral.